AGGGUGCCGGGGCUUCUCCCGUUUUUUCCCGACGGGAGAAG
Molecule: transfer RNA, 41 nt
Filed under: Cnemaspis pemanggilensis
Lineage: Eukaryota; Metazoa; Chordata; Lepidosauria; Squamata; Gekkonidae
Description: partial tRNA-Cys
Source: RNAcentral